UUCCACACAGUCCUCAGUCCUGGUGUACCUCUUUGUUGUGGCUAGAUUGAAACACACUGGGCAGCAGCACACCCAUUACCCUCUGCUUACUGCACACCCCUGGGGUGGCAGAGCUGCACCUCAGGGCACGGGCACCCACACAGCACCUUUGGGCUCCAGCUGGGAGCACCAGAAUGUCUUUACUUUCCCCCACACCCGUAUCUGCAGUCCAGCUGGAUACCAGCUGGAUGGGGAGCCUGCAAUGGAUUAUCCUGCCCUCUCAACCUACACACCUGGUGAGAUCUCAGUGCCUAAUUGAUGUGUUCCUCCCCAAAGACUAAAACAAUAAAAAUAAAUAAUACAACUCGCUUUCA
RNAcentral lists this long non-coding RNA (353 nucleotides) under Junco hyemalis (dark-eyed junco). RNAcentral describes it as "lncRNA (ENSJHYG00000014962.1)". Lineage: Eukaryota; Metazoa; Chordata; Aves; Passeriformes; Passerellidae. The record is from RNAcentral.